AUCUAGAAACAUUCGUCUAAUUAAGAAAGAUGGAAUCAAAGAGUCUGUGUAUAUUUGAUUUAAGAGUGUUCCAAUAAUGUUGAUAAAAAUUAGCUGGAAAGCCAUAUGGGCCAGGGUUUUUGUCACUAGCCACGUUAAAUAGAGCUUCCUUCAUCUUUUCCUCUAUGAAGGGAUUUUCUAGAUCUAAGAGGUCCACUUGGUCUUUCUAAAAUAAAAAGUCCCAAUUUGCCAGGAUGUUGGGUCG
Molecule: long non-coding RNA, 244 nt
Filed under: Elaeis guineensis (African oil palm)
Lineage: Eukaryota; Viridiplantae; Streptophyta; Magnoliopsida; Arecales; Arecaceae
Description: long non-coding RNA (EGUI_LNC010096)
Source: RNAcentral